RNAcentral lists this ribosomal RNA (492 nucleotides) under uncultured bacterium. RNAcentral's name for it is "partial 16S ribosomal RNA". It matches the Rfam family "Bacterial small subunit ribosomal RNA", at positions 29 to 507 of the family's 1533-position model. The record is from RNAcentral.
AGUGAACGCUGGCGGUAGGCCUAACACAUGCAAGUCGAACGGCAGCACAGUAAGAGCUUGCUCUUACGGGUGGCGAGUGGCGGACGGGUGAGGAAUACAUCGGAAUCUACUUUUUCGUGGGGGAUAACGUAGGGAAACUUACGCUAAUACCGCAUACGACCUACGGGUGAAAUCAGGGGAUCUUCGGACCUUGCGCGAUUGAAUGAGCCGAUGUCGGAUUAGCUAGUUGGCGGGGUAAAGGCCCACCAAGGCGACGAUCCGUAGCUGGUCUGAGAGGAUGAUCAGCAACACUGGAACUGAGACACGGACCAGACUACUACGGGAGGCAGCAGUGGGGAAUAUUGGACAAUGGGCGCAAGACUGAUACAGCAAUACCGCGUGGGUGAAGAAGGACUUCGGGUUGUAAAGAACUUUUGUUGGGAAAGAAAAGAAGCAGGUUAAUACAAAGAUGUUAUGACGGUAACAAAAGAAUAAGCACCGGCUAACUUCGUG